UAGGGGGCGUAGCAAUACGUCACCGGCGGACGGGUGCGUAACACGUGGGAAUGUACUUACUGGUUCGGAACAACUCAGGGAAACUUGAGCUAAUACCGAAUGUGCCCGAAAGGGGAAAGAUUUAUCGCCAGUAAAUCAGCCCGCGUCCGAUUAGGUAGUUGGUGGGGUAAAGGCCUACCAAGCCUUCGAUCCGUAGCUGGUCUGAGAGGAUGAUCAGCCACACUGGGACUGAGAUACGGCCCCGCCUCCUACGGGAGGCAGCAGUGGGGAAUAUUGGACAAUGGUCGCAAGCCUGAUCCAGCAAUGCCGCGUGAGUGAAGAAGGCCUUAGGGUUGUAAAGCUCUUUCGGCGGGGACGAUGAUGACGGUACCCGCAGAAGAAGCCCCGGCUAACUCCGUG
Molecule: ribosomal RNA, 399 nt
Filed under: uncultured bacterium
Lineage: Bacteria
Description: bacterial SSU rRNA
Rfam family: Bacterial small subunit ribosomal RNA
Source: RNAcentral